Molecule: long non-coding RNA, 245 nt
Organism: Parus major (Great Tit)
Lineage: Eukaryota; Metazoa; Chordata; Aves; Passeriformes; Paridae
Exons: 4
Source: RefSeq, a predicted model, not a curated record
CAGAUAUUUUAAGCUUCCAUGUCACGUCACGACAACCUUGCCUAAUCCAAGAUGAAGAAACAAAUAUGUAGAAGGCAUCUGCAGUGAUUUCCUUAAGCAGCUGACAUCAGCAAAGUAAACAGCCAACACAUUAAAUCUAGUCAGUGAAAUUUCUGCCUUACUGGGUUACUGGACUGAAGCUGAUUAAUAAGAUAGCCCUGUGAACCCUUGUUCAUAUCAUCAGCAGGCUGGAUAAAGUAAUCAGG